UAAACAAUGUCAAGAUAGUGGCAAUACUUU
Molecule: non-coding RNA, 30 nt
Filed under: Rattus norvegicus (Norway rat)
Lineage: Eukaryota; Metazoa; Chordata; Mammalia; Rodentia; Muridae
Source: RNAcentral